GCCGACCCCGGACCAAAAGUAGCGCUGCAGCCGACCGAACCGCGUCCUCCCGCCCCGUCCUCCCCUCCCCCACGCCGGGACGGCCUCCCGGGGGAGGCCCCGAGGAAAAAAAUCCAGGCUCGAACUCCGCCCCCUGCCGGCCGCCAGCAGGAGUGAAGCGCCACAAUCCAACAAUGAAAUGGAACCGGGGAGGGGCGGCGGGAAGGUUAUAGUGCCAUCAUGUGGAUACUUUGUUUUCUUCAAAUAAAAUGUAACCUUUUUAUAACAGAGACUAGAAAACCCAGCCAUCCCAACACCCAGGCUGUGCAAAGAAAUUGGGGCCAAACGUUUUUUUGCCAUGUUCUGAAAAGGAUAGAGGCACUCUCCAUUCCUGAUUGUUCCAAGGCUCAAGUGGUCAGAAAUGACUGGGAAGAAGGGAGAAAAACUCAGGUGGCAAAGGACAUGGACGAAAACCCAUGGCGACAUGGAAAGAAAACCCUGUGAUAUAGAGAGGAAAAGCACAGGACAGCUUAUUGGGGAGA
This 521-nucleotide long non-coding RNA is filed under the name Homo sapiens (human). RNAcentral describes it as "novel transcript". Lineage: Eukaryota; Metazoa; Chordata; Mammalia; Primates; Hominidae. The record is from RNAcentral.